CCUACGGGUGGCAGCAGUGGGGAAUAUUGCACAAUGGGGGAAACCCUGAUGCAGCGACGCCGCGUGAGUGAAGAAGUAUUUCGGUACGUAAAGCUCUAUCAGCAGGGAAGCAAAUGACGGUACCUGACUAAGAAGCACCGACUAACUACGUGACAGCAGCCGCGGUAAUACGUAGGGGGCAAGCGUUAUCCGGCUUUACUGGGUGUAAAGGGAGCGUAGACGGAAGCGCAAGUCUGAAGUGAAAACCCAUGGCUUAACCAUGGAACUGCUUUGGAGACUGUGCAGCUGGAGUGCAGGAGAGGUAAGCGGAAUGCCUGGUGUAGCGGUGAAAUGCGUAGAUAUUAGGAGGAACACCAGUGGCGAAGGCGGCUUACUGGACUGUAACUGACGUUGAGGCUCGAAAGCGUGGGGAGCAAACAGGAUUAGAUACCCUGGUAGUC
This 440-nucleotide ribosomal RNA is filed under the name uncultured bacterium. RNAcentral describes it as "partial 16S ribosomal RNA". It matches the Rfam family "Bacterial small subunit ribosomal RNA", at positions 338 to 795 of the family's 1533-position model. The record is from RNAcentral.